GGGGUUGUGGCUCAGUGGUAAAGUACUUGCCUAGCAGGUGCAAGGCACUGGGUUUGAUCCUCAGCACCACA
RNAcentral lists this transfer RNA (71 nucleotides) under Marmota monax (woodchuck). RNAcentral describes it as "tRNA.Ala". The record is from RNAcentral. Lineage: Eukaryota; Metazoa; Chordata; Mammalia; Rodentia; Sciuridae.